UGUCGUGCUUUCCCUCGAGCUCCCCAGCAAACACUGAAAUCUCCUGCAUAGCGUAUAGACAGAGGCCUCAUCCUGCAGGACACAUGCAAGCUUCUCUGAAGAGAAACAAAGCGGCAGCUACGACGGCUACGACGGCCACGACCGGUAAUGGUGUUGGAGGGAAGGACAGGGGAACUCCGCAGCCUGGACCCCAGGCCCACAGGAGAGGUGGCAGCAUGCCCCGGCCCUCCUGCUGAUGUCAGGAGGCUGGACAGCCAAGAAGGAAGAAAAUGGACUCCCUCCUUCUGAAGACUCGCCAGCUGCCAGUGAGUGUGAGCUUUUGCAGGCUCCUGCAGUAGAUGUUAGGUGUUGAUACGAACCACACGUGUUCAAUGUUCGGGUUGUUUGUUGAUAUUCACAAUUUAUCUAAUAAAACCAUAAUCUGUGAAAA
RNAcentral lists this small RNA (430 nucleotides) under Rattus norvegicus (Norway rat). RNAcentral's name for it is "uncharacterized LOC102550895". The record is from RNAcentral. Lineage: Eukaryota; Metazoa; Chordata; Mammalia; Rodentia; Muridae.